CAGUAGCCGCGGUAAUACGGAGGAUCCAAGCGUUAUCCGGAUUUAUUGGGUUUAAAGGGUGCGUAGGCGGCCAAUUAAGUCAGGGGUGAAAGACGGUAGCUUAACUAUCGCAGUGCCUUUGAUACUGAUUGGCUUGAAUACACUAGAGGUAGGCGGAAUGUGACAAGUAGCGGUGAAAUGCAUAGAUAUGUCACAGAACACCAAUUGCGAAGGCAGCUUACUAUGGUGUGAUUGACGCUGAGGCACGAAAGCGUGGGGAUCAAACAGGAUUAGAUACCCGUGUAGUCCCUGUCUCUUAUAA
Molecule: ribosomal RNA, 301 nt
Filed under: uncultured bacterium
Lineage: Bacteria
Description: partial 16S ribosomal RNA
Rfam family: Bacterial small subunit ribosomal RNA
Source: RNAcentral